GAUGAACGCUGGCGGCGUGCCUAAUACAUGCAAGUCGAGCGAACAGACGAGGAGCUUGCUCCUCUGACGUUAGCGGCGGACGGGUGAGUAACACGUGUAUAACCUACCUAUAAGACUGGGAUAACUUCGGGAAACCGGAGCUAAUACCGGAUAAUAUAUUGAACCGCAUGGUUCAAUAGUGAAAGACGGUUUUGCUGUCGCUUAUAGAUGGAUCCGCGCCGCAUUAGCUGGUUGGUAAGGUAACGGCUUACCAAGGCAACGAUGCGUAGCCGACCUGAGAGAGUGAUCGGCCACACGGGAGCUGAGACACGGUCCAGGCUCCUACGGGAGGCAGCAGUAGGGAAUCUGCCGCAAUGGGCGAAAGCCUGACGGAGCAACGCCGCGUGAGUGAUGAAGGUCUUCGGAUCGUAAAACUCUGUUAUUAGGGAAGAACAAAUGUGUAAGUAACUAUGCACGUCUUGACGGUACCGAAUCAGAAAGCCACGGCUAACUACGUG
RNAcentral lists this ribosomal RNA (497 nucleotides) under uncultured bacterium. RNAcentral's name for it is "partial 16S ribosomal RNA". It matches the Rfam family "Bacterial small subunit ribosomal RNA", at positions 28 to 507 of the family's 1533-position model. The record is from RNAcentral.